UACGAAGGGAGCUAGCGUUACUCGGAAUUAUUGGGCGUAAAGCGUGCGCAGGCGGCCUUGAAAGUUGGAAGUGAAAGCCCAGAGCUCAACUCUGGAAUUGCUUUCAAAACUACAAGGCUAGAGUGUCAGAGAGGAUGGCGGAAUUCCUAGUGUAGAGGUGAAAUUCGUAGAUAUUAGGAGGAACACCGGUGGCGAAGGCG
RNAcentral lists this ribosomal RNA (200 nucleotides) under uncultured bacterium. Its description in RNAcentral is "partial 16S ribosomal RNA". It matches the Rfam family "Bacterial small subunit ribosomal RNA", at positions 524 to 723 of the family's 1533-position model. The record is from RNAcentral.